AGGUACCCUGACAUCAGAGUGAUCGAGCGAGGCAUUCAAGGUCUGAUUGAUAGGCAGCUGCCCAAUGGAGACUGGCCACAGGAGAACAUUUCUGGAGUGUUCAAUAAAAGCUGUGCCAUCAGCUACACCUCUUACAGGAAUGUGUUUCCUGUGUGGACGCUGGGCCGUUUCUCACAGCUCUACCCCUGCAGCCCUCUGGCUGGGAAACUCAAACUCUGAGUCAGAUACUGUGUACUUGUGCCUCAAAUAAGCAGUAUCUGAUCAAAGAUCAUUCUUAUUUGAAACAAACCUGUUUGCUGCUCUUUAGAAAGUAGGACUGAUUUAUCAAAGUCUUUAGAAUAUUAUCUACAGAAUAUUUAGUUCAUUUUUGUGCUCUUUUAACCAUGAGACCAAGGCGUUGUAUCCUGUAGAUGAUUAUGUAAUUAAAAGCGAUUUUCUGUACUCUUAUAAUAAAUCAUUUUAUAUUUUG
Molecule: long non-coding RNA, 469 nt
Organism: Sinocyclocheilus rhinocerous
Lineage: Eukaryota; Metazoa; Chordata; Actinopteri; Cypriniformes; Cyprinidae
Exons: 2
Source: RefSeq, a predicted model, not a curated record